AUGCUGCAGUCUCUGCUGUCCCCUGCCCUCCAACCUGGCUUUUCACACCCAUAUCAGCUGCCAGCACAAGUGUCAUGACCUGGAUUCAAAGAUGCUUUUUAAACCCCUGAUUACAUGGCCUACUUCCUGGCUAUGUAAAUGAGGCCAGGUGGAUUCUAUUUUAAAAGCCUGCUAAAGACCGUGGUUAAAAUAGCUGACAAUAUUACCACACCACUGGGCUUAAAGGGUUUCUCUGUGUCUGAGAGAUGUGGUGGCUUUAUCUCUGUGUUUUAUGUUUCAUUUACUAAUAGGGUUUUAGGAAUCUUACUGGUGCUAUGCCCCUUCCCUUCUCAUUCCCAGAGAGUUCCUCCCUCGAUAUUUGUGGGGAAUCUCUGGCCUUUUUACAGACUAGUUUGCCACUACCACCACACCCUGGCUUUCCUCCACUACCCUACACCAAAGAAGCUACAAGCAAUUUCCAAGUGUCCCUAAAACAACAGGAAAUUGAGGAAAGAUGCUCAGUGAGAACAAGGACAGCAGGAUUCUCCUGAAACUCUCCCCCACAGCAGCUGCAUUUGAAGCAUAAGGACAUACUCCUGCUUGCAAGUGUCUGCCUGCACCAGAGCUGAAGCAUUAGCUGGGUUUUACCUUCUAAAUACAAAUAAUGCUUCCUAUUAAAGGAUUUGCUGGGCUAGACCAUGAGACUGACACAUAGCAUUUGAUCUGAAGAGCUAACUGUGCCAGCAGCCUCUGAAGCUGGUGAAGAAGUAAUGGUGGUAGGUACAAGGCUUGGUUUUUCGUGGAGGCUGUCCACAAAGGAGCUAAAGAAAGUAGCUUACCUCCUCGCCAGCUUGGCUGCAUCUGCUGCAGCACUUCCGUUGACUAGAAGGGACACGUUAGAUAUUGCACCAGCCAGGAAACAGUCC
Long non-coding RNA from Hirundo rustica (Barn swallow), 905 nucleotides. RefSeq lists it as uncharacterized. NCBI's taxonomy places the organism in Eukaryota, Metazoa, Chordata, Aves, Passeriformes, Hirundinidae. The transcript is spliced from 3 exons. The record is from RefSeq and is a predicted model, not a curated record.